GACGAACGCUGGCGGCGUGCUUAACACAUGCAAGUCGAACGGAGCGAAUGAAAGCUUGCUUUUAUAAGCUUAGUGGCAAACGGGUGAGUAACACGUAGGCAACCUGCCGACAGGAUGGGGACAACAUUCCGAAAGGAAUGCUAAUACCGAAUGAAGCGCAGGAGAGGCAUCUCUCCUGCGUGAAAGAUGGCCUCUAUAUAUAAGCUAUCACCUGUCGAUGGGCCUGCGUCUGAUUAGCUGGUAGGUGAGGUAACGGCUCACCUAGGCGACGAUCAGUAGCCGGUCUGAGAGGAUGAACGGCCACAUUGGGACUGAGACACGGCCCAGACUCCUACGGGAGGCAGCAGUGGGGAAUCUUCCGCAAUGGGCGCAAGCCUGACGGAGCAACGCCGCGUGAGUGAAGAAGGUCUUCGGAUCGCAAAGCUCUGUUGAUGGGGACGAACGUGCCUAAUGCGAAUAGUUUAGUAA
RNAcentral lists this ribosomal RNA (468 nucleotides) under Centipeda noxia. Its description in RNAcentral is "bacterial SSU rRNA". It matches the Rfam family "Bacterial small subunit ribosomal RNA", at positions 28 to 472 of the family's 1533-position model. The record is from RNAcentral. Lineage: Bacteria; Bacillati; Bacillota; Negativicutes; Selenomonadales; Selenomonadaceae.